This 123-nucleotide microRNA precursor is filed under the name Cephalotus follicularis. RNAcentral's name for it is "mir-172 microRNA precursor family". It matches the Rfam family "mir-172 microRNA precursor family". From Rfam's summary of the family: mir-172 has been experimentally verified in Arabidopsis thaliana. This family is thought to target mRNAs coding for APETALA2-like transcription factors. The record is from Rfam by way of RNAcentral. Lineage: Eukaryota; Viridiplantae; Streptophyta; Magnoliopsida; Oxalidales; Cephalotaceae.
UUGUUUGCUGGUGCAGCAUCAUUAAGAUUCACACGCAAACGCAAGGUAGCAGCAGCAAUAUGUUAUCUUCUAAUGAUCGAUUUUUUGAGGUGAGAAUCUUGAUGAUGCUGCAUCGGCCAUAAA